RNAcentral lists this long non-coding RNA (286 nucleotides) under Nicotiana benthamiana. Its description in RNAcentral is "long non-coding RNA (NBEN_LNC002176)". Lineage: Eukaryota; Viridiplantae; Streptophyta; Magnoliopsida; Solanales; Solanaceae. The record is from RNAcentral.
UUUAAAUUGAUUUUGAAUAUAUUAAAAAAUCAUUCAACAAAUAUAAACGCAGUCACCCCUGAAGUCAUUAUAUAUUAGAAAGCUAUCUAUAUACUAUAUUUUGUUAAGAAUAUUUUUGGUAUGAAGAAAAGUCAAACUUUUCUUCUUACCAAAUCUGAAAAAAGUUGUGGAGGAAGACAACAAUCUACAAAUGGAAAUAUUCACAAAUCUAGAGAAAAGAGAGCACCAUGGUGGUUUCUUCAUCACUUUAUUUUACCAUUUCGUUAGUCUUAUAAUUUGUAAUAUC